This 746-nucleotide ribosomal RNA is filed under the name uncultured Parvimonas sp. Its description in RNAcentral is "bacterial SSU rRNA". It matches the Rfam family "Bacterial small subunit ribosomal RNA", at positions 28 to 776 of the family's 1533-position model. Lineage: Bacteria; Bacillati; Bacillota; Tissierellia; Tissierellales; Peptoniphilaceae. The record is from RNAcentral.
GACGAACGCUGGCGGCGUGCUUAACACAUGCAAGUCGAACGUGAUUUUUGUGGAAAGCCCUUCGGGGACGGAAGCGAAAUGAAAGUGGCGAACGGGUGAGUAACACGUGAGCAACCUACCUUACACAGGGGGAUAGCCGUUGGAAACGACGAUUAAUACCGCAUGAGACCACAAAGCCACAUGGCUUAGGGGUAAAAGAUUUAUCGGUGUAAGAUGGGCUCGCGUCUGAUUAGCUAGUUGGAAGGGUAAAGGCCUACCAAGGCAACGAUCAGUAGCCGGUCUGAGAGGAUGAACGGCCACAUUGGAACUGAGACACGGUCCAAACUCCUACGGGAGGCAGCAGUGGGGAAUAUUGCACAAUGGGGGGAACCCUGAUGCAGCGACGCCGCGUGAGCGAAGAAGGUUUUCGAAUCGUAAAGCUCUGUCCUAUGAGAAGAUAAUGACGGUAUCAUAGGAGGAAGCCCCGGCUAAAUACGUGCCAGCAGCCGCGGUAAUACGUAUGGGGCGAGCGUUGUCCGGAAUUAUUGGGCGUAAAGGGUACGUAGGCGGCCUAUUAAGUCAGGUGUGAAAGCGUGAGGCUUAACCUCAUUAAGCACUUGAAACUGGAAGGCUUGAGUGAAGGAGAGGAAAGUGGAAUUCCUAGUGUAGCGGUGAAAUGCGUAGAUAUUAGGAGGAAUACCGGUGGCGAAGGCGACUUUCUGGACUUUUACUGACGCUCAGGUACGAAAGCGUGGGGAGCAAACAGG